CCUACGGGAGGCAGCAGUGGGGAAUAUUGGACAAUGGGGGGAACCCUGAUCCAGCCAUGCCGCGUGUGUGAAGAAGGCCUUUUGGUUGUAAAGCACUUUAAGCGAGGAGGAGGCUUACCUGGUUAAUACCUGGGAUAAGUGGACGUUACUCGCAGAAUAAGCACCGGCUAACUCUGUGCCAGCAGCCGCGGUAAUACAGAGGGUGCAAGCGUUAAUCGGAUUUACUGGGCGUAAAGCGCGCGUAGGUGGCUAAUUAAGUCAAAUGUGAAAUCCCCGAGCUUAACUUGGGAAUUGCAUUCGAUACUGGUUAGCUAGAGUAUGGGAGAGGAUGGUAGAAUUCCAGGUGUAGCGGUGAAAUGCGUAGAGAUCUGGAGGAAUACCGAUGGCGAAGGCAGCCAUCUGGCCUAAUACUGACACUGAGGUGCGAAAGCAUGGGGAG
RNAcentral lists this ribosomal RNA (439 nucleotides) under uncultured Acinetobacter sp. Its description in RNAcentral is "bacterial SSU rRNA". It matches the Rfam family "Bacterial small subunit ribosomal RNA", at positions 338 to 768 of the family's 1533-position model. Lineage: Bacteria; Pseudomonadati; Pseudomonadota; Gammaproteobacteria; Moraxellales; Moraxellaceae. The record is from RNAcentral.